RNAcentral lists this transfer RNA (71 nucleotides) under Phrynosoma platyrhinos (Desert horned lizard). RNAcentral's name for it is "tRNA-OTHER". The record is from RNAcentral. Lineage: Eukaryota; Metazoa; Chordata; Lepidosauria; Squamata; Phrynosomatidae.
GCCAGCAAGGCCUAGUGGUUUGAGUGUUGGACUACGACUCUAGAGACCAGGGUUCGAUUCCCAGCUUGGCC